This is a long non-coding RNA of Microplitis mediator, 483 nucleotides long. RefSeq lists it as uncharacterized. The record is from RefSeq and is a predicted model, not a curated record. NCBI's taxonomy places the organism in Eukaryota, Metazoa, Arthropoda, Insecta, Hymenoptera, Braconidae. The transcript is spliced from 3 exons.
UAUUGUAAGCAAUUAAAAUAUUUAGUAAGAAUAAACAUUAGAUAAAUGAAAUAAAUACGAAGAAACAGAAGCGAUAACAAAUUUCUUACUAUAAAAUAAGCGUGCAGAGAUAUUUCGUAUGGUAGAAUAGUAGUCUGGUUAAUGAUAAAGAAAAAAUAAAAAGUUAACUUGAGACAAUGACGUAAUGUUAUAUUUCAUCUGAUAAAAUACUAAAAAUUUCCUAGUACAAGAUUGUAGUUCACUCACAUUUUAAAUCUAGAGUAUCGUUAUUACGCGUAAAAUUCCAAUUCGGUCAAUCGUAUGGAUUAUUUUUCUUGUAAAUAACUUUUUAGUGAUGUCAGUUUUUUAAUUUGAAACUACUCGAGUUUUUUUCUCUAUUCAAAAACCAGAUCUUAUUCCUGGAAAUAUCAUAUUAAUAUAUAUACAUAGCUAAUUCAUGACUUACAUGCAUCAUGCAAUUUAUUUCUCAUUGAUACAAUUGCG